Molecule: transfer RNA, 73 nt
Filed under: Candidatus Riesia sp.
Lineage: Bacteria; Pseudomonadati; Pseudomonadota; Gammaproteobacteria; Enterobacterales; Enterobacteriaceae
Description: tRNA-Gly
Rfam family: tRNA
About the family: Transfer RNA (tRNA) molecules are approximately 80 nucleotides in length. Their secondary structure includes four short double-helical elements and three loops (D, anti-codon, and T loops). Further hydrogen bonds mediate the characteristic L-shaped molecular structure. tRNAs have two regions of fundamental functional importance: the anti-codon, which is responsible for specific mRNA codon recognition, and the 3' end, to which the tRNAs corresponding amino acid is attached (by aminoacyl-tRNA synthetases). tRNAs cope with the degeneracy of the genetic code in two manners: having more than one tRNA (with a specific anti-codon) for a particular amino acid; and 'wobble' base-pairing, i.e. permitting non-standard base-pairing at the 3rd anti-codon position.
Source: RNAcentral
GCAGUAAUAGCUCAACUGGUAGAGUGCUAUCUUGCCAAGAUAGAAGUUGUGGGUUCGAGCCCCACUUACUGCA